RNAcentral lists this long non-coding RNA (21602 nucleotides) under Lathyrus oleraceus (garden pea). RNAcentral describes it as "Pisum sativum (pea) long non-coding RNA (PSAT_LNC022513)". Lineage: Eukaryota; Viridiplantae; Streptophyta; Magnoliopsida; Fabales; Fabaceae. The record is from RNAcentral.
AUGAUAAAGGUAAGAACACAAGUAUUUUGUUCAUGGCUUGUUGUUAACGAAGUUACGUCCAAUCCACCCGCCUGAAUGAUUUCGCUUUCUCAAUAAGGACUUAAUUCAAUAAUCAAACUGAUUACAACAAACUCAAAGGCACACAAUCUAAGACUUCUUGAAUUUUUUUUACUAUACUGUAGUCUCUCAAGGAAAAUAACUCAAAGACUUACUGCCAAUGACUUAUUGAGAGUUCUAAAUAAACUUAGUCUCUUAAGGAAAUUAACAAAAGGUUAAGAUAACAGGUUUUGUGUUAUAAGAUGCUUCAAUAAAGAAGAUGCACAAGUUUAAAUAAAAUGUUACACAUAACAAAGAUAUUCAAGGAAAGUUGUUCUAAGUGUAUGAGUGUGAGGAACACUUUUUUUUUUAUAUUUUCUCUUUCACGUGUUCUCUUUGAGUAUAAGUGUUGAUAUCUGUUCAGUGCUUAUUUUUCUUUCAAUACUCAAAGACCUCUUUAAAUAGUAGCAAAUAGACUAGUUAGAGGGUGAAGUUGGAUUAUCCUCAAUGUAGAUGUUAUAUGAAGGUCACUUCAUAUGCAACAUUAGAGUGACGCCUACAACAGAGAGUUGGUAAGGAUCAUGGGACAUGAGAAGCUUCAUUGGUACAUAGUAGAUUAGUUUACAUAGAAAGUAUAUUUUCUUUUUGUACUUCUGUCACAUUAAUAAGUCAUUGGCCUUUUGAUACAAAUCUUCUAGUCAGAAGCUUCUAAUAUAAUUUGAUGAUGCUUGACUAGAGUUCAGAGUUUGCCUUCAGAACUUGGUGAGACUUCAGAGUCUUUGGAGAAUAGGGUUCUGAGACUUUUUAGAAUCUGGUAGUCAUAAUCUUUAUCAGAGUCUAUCUAGAUGGUUUAUGAACAUAAACACUGACUUUGUCAAAUCAGAGUGGACUCUAAACAUCAGAAUUAACUUUUUUGAAAACACGCUUUUAUCCUUUGGUUCAGAGUCUCGACGUCUUCAGAGUUAGAAUCUGUUUCCUACUUUCUGCACACUCAGGAAAAUAGUUAGAGUAAAAUAUUAUUCUCUACACUUUGUUAUCAUCAAAACUAGAGGAUAGUUAUAGAACCAAACUUGUUCCAAUAAUCUCCCACUUUUUGAUGAUGAAAAUUUUGAUGAACAAUUUUUACUUUGGAUAAUCAUAUUUAUAAAAAUUCAGAGAUAGAUUUGUAAGCUCCCCCUGAGUUUUAUAAUUAUCAAAUUUCAGAGUUUCUUCAGAGUGAGGUUUGUAAGCUCCCCCUGAGUAGUUACCAUGUUUUUCUCAGUUUCUUCAGAGUGAGGUUUGUAAGACCCCCCUGAGUUGAGACUUAGAAAAACAAUAUUGUUGAUCAACUUGAUUUUAACAAUGUUUGGGUUUUAUUAGGGUCACAAGAUAUAUCAAAAUCAUAUUCAUCUCCUCCUCCUUUGUCAUCAAUCAAAAAGAUAAAAACAAAAUAGCAUAACUGAAAGUAAAAUGUAGAGCAAAGAGUAAAAAACAAGAGAAAAGAAAAAAAAUCAUUGACGAACAUAAUAAUACAAAAGAAGAUAAAAAAACAAGAAGACAAUAACAAAAGAAAAUCAGGGAAAGGAGAAACUAGAGGGGAGAAAGUCAAACAUUGAAAGGUCCUAAGCUACUUCGAGCUUCUGACUCCAGCUGAGCUCCAGAGCCUCAGCUAACCUAGCCUCCUAUACAUUCUCAACAAUACCUUCUUGAAGGAAAAGUUCAAAAAUAGCUCUUCCAAAAAGAAUGAGAAGAUAUUCCUUCAUGAGAGGCGAUAAUCUUCUUCCUUAAGAAGUUUAAGAUUAUGAGGGGAAGGUUAACCCUUAGUCCCCAACAAGAUAAAGAAGAUAAGAUGCUUGUCAACAUAAGAUAAGAUAUUUACCUUGGCAAUAAGAGAGGAUAGACUUACCAAAUUGUUCUUGGUGGCAAGGAUAUUAUCUGGAAUGGCUUCAAGGAAUGGACUUGUCCUUAGAUACAUGUCUAUAUGAACCUCAUCCUCAUCGCACGUGAUUUAUUUAACAAUCAGAGUAGGAGUUAGAGUGAUGGGAAUUCCAAAAACAUUAGACUUAAUGCAUGAAGCAUCUUAUCUAAUAUGUAAGAGGGACACAUUUGUACAAAAUUCUCUAAUGAGAACAGGAUAGAUGGGUCCUUCAAGCAUGUUAAAUUAAUUCUCCCACUUUUGGGAAUGAACAUGACUUAGAAGAUCAAGACAAUGAUUCUUGAAUUUGUUGAAGUCAAUAAAUUUUUCAUAAGAAAUGGUAAGAGGGCUAAGCUACACUAUAAACUGAAGACAUUUUUUGAGAUUUGAGAGUAUGGAGGAAGAUGGAUAUUUUAGAAAGUGAUACUAGCACGUGCAAGAUGAGAUGAAAAAUAAAAGAGUGAAGAAGAAGUUUAAAUAGAAAAAGAAAGAAGGAGUUAAAACAUUUUAGGAGGGAGUAGGCAGAAGCCUAAACGAAAUAGACUCAAUAGGUAUCAAUGCUUGUUGCAGUAAUAGAAUUUGCACCAAGAAUCACAACAAGGCACGCUUGUCAUAAGCUAUUAUUACAAAACAUUGAAAAAGACCAAAAUAAGUCAUUUAAAAAGACAUAUAAGAAAGCAAAUUUGAAAAAGUAAAUAAUUUUUUUAAAAAUCACACGCAGCUUGACAAAGGGAGGUAAGUGAAGAGAUUUUCUCUUGAACCAAGAAAUAUCAUCCCAAAGGGUCAUGUCAAAUGUUUAGAUGACUUUAAAAUAGGAAAAUUGUCUUACUUUAGAGCCAUGCGAAAAUGCUUGAUUACACCAUUAAUAUUAAAAACUCAGAGUCCAAAAGACAGAAAAUUUCAAAAGGGUUUUAACUUUGGACCUUCUGACCAAGAGAACCUCCUAACUUCAAAGGGAUAACUAGUUCAGAGCCAAUAUAUCUCAGAGCCAUAUUUUACUAUUCAGAGUCUACACACAAAUUGAAAAGAUUUUAUUUUAUUAUGGACAAAGUUCCAUUUUCAUAUUUUUUAGAAUAAAAACAAAUCUAUCUUCAACAAGGGAUUUUGUAAAGAUGUCAUCUCAUUGGUGGUCUGUGUCUAUAGAUUUUAAAUUAAUUACACCCUUAUGAACAUAAUCUCUUAUAAAAUGAUGUUUGAUUUUAAUGUAUUUAGCUAUGGAGUGAAAAAUAGGAUUCUUUGAUAAGAAAAUUGUAGAAGUAUUAUUACAAAGAAUAUGAAUGUUACUCUCAUAUAAAUGAUAAUAUUCUAUCUGGAUUUUUAUCUAGAGAAUCUGAGUGCUGCAACCAGAUGCUGCAAUGUAUUCAACCUUUGUUGUUGAUUGCCUCUUGUUAGACUAAGAAAUGAGAUUAUCACCUAGAAACUAGCAACUUCCACUAGCGCUCUUCCUUUCUAGUCCAUCUCUAGCAUAAUCAACAUUACAAUAACCUAAUAAUACGUAAUCAUUGGAUUUUCUAUAAAACAAACCAAGAUUAAUAGUACCUUUCAGAUAUCUAAAAAUCCUUUUAAUAACGGUCAAAUGGGAUUCUUUAGGAUCUUAUUGGAAUCUAACACAAAGACACACGCUAAAUAAAAUAUCAGGUCUAGAAGCAGUCAAGUAUAAGAGAUAUCCAAUCAUACCUCUAUAUACCUUUUGCUCUACCUGUUUGCUUUCAUCUUUCUCCAUAAUACAUGUUAGAUGCAUUAGAGUCUUGGUUGGUUUACAUUCUUACAAGUUAAACUUCUUCAGAAGUUUUUUGUAUAUUUACUUUGAUGGAUAUAUGUUCUUUCUGAAUUUUGAUUGGUAUGAAUCCCCAACAAGAACUUUAAUUAUCCCAUCAGACUCAAAUUCUACAUGCAUAGACUUAGAGAAUUCCUUGCAAAGAGUUGCAUCAACAUAAAUUUGCACAACUAAGAUAUCAUUUUUGAAUAUUUUACAAAACAAAGUUGUAUCUACUUUUUAUCUUGUGAAAUCAAUUUUAAAAAGAAAAUUUCUUAGUCUUUCAUACCAUGCUCUAGGAGCUUGUUUCAGACCAUACAAAGAUUUCUUGAGUUCGUAAACAAAAUAUGGAUUUUUUAUUUAUUUUCAAAACCAGGGGGUUGAUGUACAUAAACUUCUUCAGUAAUGUAGCCAUUCAAAAUUUCACUUUUAAAAUCCAUCUGAUAAAGAAUGAUGUUAUGAUUUAUAUAAAAGGAAAUUAAGAGAAGAAUAAACUAUAACCUGGCCACUGGCGCAAAGGUUUCAGUAUAGUCAAUUCCCUCUUGUUAAUUAUAACCUUGUGAAACCAGUCUGGAUUUGUUUCUUACCACUUCUCAUUGCUCAUUCGACUUGUUUCUGAAGACCCAUUUGGUUCCUAUAACAUGGAUUCCCUUGGGACUAGGCACAAGAUCCCAUACAUCUUUUUUGGAGAAUUGUUUUAGCUUUUCUUGCAUAGCCAAAAUCCAAUUUGUGUCCAGAAGUGUUUCGUCAAUGAAGGUAGGUUCUAUUAAAGACACCAAUCCUAGAAGUAUUUAUUCAGAAGGUUUAAAUGAAGAACUGGUUCUGAUGGGUUCUAAUUUAUCACCUAAAAUCAAUUCCUUAGGAUGUGAAGAACUUUGUCUUGGUUUCCUUAGAGGUGCUUAAGAGGCAGCAAAUUUUGAUUCAGGUUGAGCACCUUUGAGUUAAGAGUCUUCAGAGUCUUUAACCCCAGAUUUCUUACCUUCAGAAUCUGAGUAGCUAAUCUCCAAAUCUAUAAACUUUUCAACUAGCUUUGACUUGUCAAAGUCAAGCUUAUCAUCAAACUUUAAAUGAAUUGAUUCCUCAAUAAUUCUUGUUUCAGUGUUAUAUACUUUGUAGCCUUUUGAGAGUUCAGAGUAUCCUAACAUGAUAUAUUUUUUUGCUUUGGAAUCAAACUUGUUUAAGUUCUCUUUAAUGUUCGGAGUAAAACAAGAACAUCCAAAAGGAUGAAAAUAUGAAAUGUUGGGUUUUUUGUUUUUCCACAAUUCAUAAGGAGUCUUACCCAUAAUCAGCCUUAUAAAGAACAUGUUAUAAAUGUAACAUGACGUUUUAACUGCUUCUUUCCAGAAGUACUUUGCAACAUAUGUUUCAUUGAUCAUGGUUCUAGACGCUUCUUGUAAAGUUCUAUUUUUUCUCUCUACAACUCCAUUCUGUUGAGAAGUUCUAGAGCAAGAGAAAUCAUGUGAAAUUUCAUUGUCAUACUCCAAAUUUUGACCACUAGGUUUCAUCUGACUAAGUCCUUUGAGUCUAUACCCUGUACCAGUGUAGGUCGACUGCAUUUAAGUCCUUGAUCAAUUUCAUUUCAUCUGACUCAGUGCAAUGUCAUAUGAGACAUAACUUUUCAUCUGAGCCCAUCAUAUGUGUAAGUCAAAUGGUCAACUCCAAUGAUCCAAAAGUCAAAGGAGGACCAUUUUGAUUUUUUAUCCCUUUUCAUUUAAUCUAGCUCAUUUUUAUUUAUUUGAAUUUCAUUUUAUACUUUUAGGAUUAUUAGCAUAAGUACUAUUAUUUUUACUUUUAUAGUUUUUAUCAUUCACUAAUACCAUUAUUUAUUUUAAAUUUAGUUAUUAUCUUUACCAUUAUUUUACUAUUUUAUUAUAGUUAUUAUUAAUACUUUUAUUUUUAUUUUAGCUUUAGAUUUAUUUAGUUAUUAUUAUUUUUUAGUGGCUAUUGCUAUUAAUAUAAUUUCUUUUUAGUUGCAUUACAAUUACUAUUAUGUCAUUAUUAUUAGUUUAUUAGUUUAGCAUUAGUAAUAUUAUUAGUUCCUUUUAAUUUCGUUAUUGUUAUGUCAAUAUCAUUUUUUUCUUUUUAUUUUAUUUUGAGUCCAAGUCUGAGUGAAGGUCAACAAGUCAACACAGUCAGUAAAAUCUAAAAACAAAUAAAACGCAUGAGUGGGGGAUCAUAAUGGAUAAAACACAAAGUACCCAAACAACAAAAUCUCUCUUUUUCAUUAUCAUUGAUCAAUUACAGAUUGAGCUUGCCAAAUAUACAAAUCUAAUUCAAAAUCUAAUCAAGUCUUUCCUAAAACAGAACAAAUCUAAUCAAACAUAGACCUAAUUUUACACUAUUAAAGAAAAGCUAAAAUUAGAAAGAACAAUUAGUCACGUUUUACAAACUUAGAGCCCUAAAGUUGUUGCUCUUCACACUGAAGAACAACAAUGCUAAACCCUAAUUCUAAAGCCUCAACAUCCAUCCUAGCAAGUAAAGACCAUGCAGCAAAAAAAGAAACAACAAAGAAAGGGAAUGCAUUAGAGAGGAAGCCAAGAAUCAAAGGAGAAAAAGAAUAAAAAAUAAAGUGUUACCUUUUUUUCACUGGGAGGACUCACGCUCCCGUCGGUUGGUGCUUCUUUUUGGAUUUUGUGCAAAUUCGGUGCUUCUUUUCUCUUUGAUACCAUGUUUGCUUGAUUUUUGUUUUAGUUAGGUUUUUUGUGGUUCAAUUAGUAUUUUUGUGUUUGUCAUGAUUGGAUGCAUGCUAGGGUUUCAUUUUUUUUGUUUUGGUGUGAUUUAGGUUUGAGUUUUGGUUCGAUAAAGGCUAAAUAGAUGAGGGUUUUAGUUUUUAGGGUUUGGAAGAUUUGGAUUGAGUUUAUGUUUUGAUGGUUGAUUUAGGUUUAGGAGGUUCAUAUUUAUUGAUUGGUGUUUGAUUUGUGCGAUUUAGGUAGGUCUAAUGUUAUUUAUAGGUUGAGUUAGCUUAGGGUUGAGGUUGAAGAUGAAUGUUCAUAAGGGUGAUGAACAUUUAUGGUGGCUAGGGUUCAUGGGGGUUUAGGUUAGGGUUCAUGUGGUUAGGUUUAAGGUUCGUGGCUAGGGUUCAAGAGAUUUUUAGGGUUCUUAUUUUAUUAGGGUUAAGGUUCUUCAUGUUCAUCAGUAACAUGAAAAAUAAGGUGGCUAAUGGGUUUUAAAGGUGGCCGGAAGAGGGUUCAAGGGCGGUCGAAGAAGGUAAAUGAUGGAUAAAAAAAAGAGAUGGGAGAGUGAGAUGGAGAGAAGAGAGAGAUGGGGAAUAGUAGAGAGAGAAAGAGGUGUUAGAAAUGACUCAUUUCUGAAGAGAGCACACGUAUAUACAUCUCCCUUGCCCCCUUUGAUCGUAAACACGUGGCUCUCUCUGGUCCAUGUGAUGGUCAGACUUUGACCCUUCUAGUGUAUGUGUUCCCACUAUAGACCUGUGGUUGACUACACUAGUCUUCCAUCCUACAUGCUUUCCCUAUAGCUUGAUCCAGUGGCCAUGAUCCCAUUAUUGUUGACUACUCAAUCAACACAUCCAACGUCCCAAAAUGAGAGUCAACCAUUGACUCUCUUAGGUUGACUCAGGCUGCUCCCUAAGCCUCCGGGCUAUUGGGCCUUUGUCCAUGCUUUGAAUACACUCUAUUUACUAGCUUGGUAUACAAAUACACCCCAUUAGUUUUUAAUUUAAAUUAACUUUUGUUAGUUAAUUUAAUUGUUUUUAAUUUAGUUAUUUAUUAAUUUUAGCUCUUAAUUUAAUUUUCAACUUAGGUAUUUAAUUUAGUGGUUUUGUUUUUAGUUAAUUUUUAACUUGUAUUUUUAAUUUAGUCAUUUUAAUUAAUUUAUUUAAAUUUUCAAUUUAGUUUGUAUUUAUUGUUUGGCGCACGUCGCAUUUUCAAUUUAAUUGAUUGUUUGGCGCACGUCGCAUCGAUAAAUUAUUCUAAUUCAAAACAUUUAAAAUCAACACAAUACAUCAAAUGUAAUUUGUGCCCUUGUGCACUUAAUUCAUCUUUUUUUUUAUUAAAAGGAUAUGUUAAGUUAUUUCGACGCAAAAUACAAACAAGCGUUUCCGCCUCCAUUGUGCAAGCAUAUAAGCCAAUGUUUAAACGCAAAAAAUGAUCUAAACCCUAUUCUCUAAAAUCAACCAACAAACACUUAUUUUUUACCGAACUACGAUGCUCUGAUUUUCUCAUUGCACAGUGAGAAUACGUAGGCACGAGGUUUUGAAACCUUGACGAGCACACUUAAUAAAAAACUAUUUUUUUUCCUUUUUUUGUAAAUAUUUUAAUAAAUAAAUAAUUGCAAACAUUAUCUUAACAAACCCUUAACCCUAAAACUAUAUGAGGUUCCAAUUGAGUACAACAAAUGUGAGAAGUGCUAAUAUCUUCCCCUCGCAUAACUGUCUCCAAAAUCCAGGGACGAAGCGAGGUAUAUCAGUAUGGGGGCAUGUGCCCCCACUAUAUUUUUUUAAAAACAAACUUUAAUACUAUAUAUAUAUAUAUAUAUCAAAACAAUAUAUUUAACCAAAAUUAUAUAUAUUAAAUUAAUUCAAUAAUAUUAUUAUAAAGAUAUUAUUAAAAAUUAGGUAAAAAUAAUAAAAUAUAUAAAUAUUCUCCAAAAAUUAAUGUGAGUUUUUUAUUUUCAAUAAUUAAAUCAAAAUGUGUCAGAUUAAAUAUAUUUGAAUUUUUUUUUAAUAAUUUCAAAAUAGUUUUUCUCUAAACCUUAAAACAAAUUGAUUUAUGAGAUUUUAUAUUAAUAUUAUGAUCUCAUAAAAAAUGCAUAAAAAAAUAUUUUUAUUGAUAAUAAAAUUUAGAAAAUUACAAAAUUAAAAAAAUUAUUAAAUUUUUUUUUGAGAUAAAUUUUAUUAAAAAAUAAAUAUAACAUAUAUUUAUGAUUUAAAAAUAAAUAAAAACAAACUUAUAUAUUAAUAUAUUGCCCCCACAGUUCAAAAUUUCUGACUCCGUCCCUGCCAGAAUCCAUAUUAUGCUGUGAUGACCAUUUUAUCCUUUUUUCCUUAGGGUUUCAUCGUUAUUCUCCCAUUUCCUUAUGAAUAAAUAAAAUUUGGUGACAACUAUAUUAGUCAUCUAUGAGCCUGGGAUACGCUCACGAGGUCGUAUUUUUUGAGAUGCGACGGCUGACGACUCUGUUGGGGAUAUUCUCCCUAAAGAGAGUCAAGCCUUUCUUUAGUUCUAGGAUUGUUUGGUUUAUUUUAUUUAAUUUAUUUAUUUUUGUUUAUGUUUUAUUUAUUUCAUUUAUUUUCUUUCUUUCUUUAUUAUUCUAUAUAUUAUUUUAACAUUUGUAGGUUUUAAUUUCUAAUUUGAGAAUAAGCUAUACACCCGAGCUCGAGAAGAAACAUAAGAUUAAGUAAGGGCUUUGUCAUGUUUUGGCCCCUGAGAUGCACAUCUCACGGGUUUUUUAACGACAACUCCGUCUUGAGUAGAUCAUUUCAAAGAUUUCAUCACGAGUUGGUUAGCUCAUCUUUGUCACGAAGCUCUAAAUUUGGUCCAUGACUCUAGGGACCUCUUCUAGAACCCGAACAUUAAUACUUCAUUUCUACAAAGGCUCUGCCUAAGGGAAACCCUUUGAGAUUUUAUCAUGGGAGGGCUAGGCCCUAUCAUGAUGAAAUUUCCUCUGCAUUCCAUUACAUUGGGUUUGUUCAAUAAAACCCUAUAACAUACCCUGUGAGGGGUUGGGUAGAAAAACCUAGGACCUUUUUUAGGAGGCCUCAGUUAGGUUGUUCAAUUAUCAUCCCGUCCUACAUAAAAAUUGCAUAACAUAUCAUAUAUUUGCAUUAAAAAUUGGAUAUUUUAGCAUUAUAAUCCUUAUUUUUAGGGAAUUUCAAAGUUUGUUUAAACAUUCGCGAGAGAUGAAUUCAGACAAGAGGAAGACCUGUCAGAUGAAGGCAUAAUUAACAGACAUGCAAAGUCUGAAGAUUCCCAUUGGCAAGCCACUUGGUGUUACCAUGUUGAAAGAGUUCAAGGUUCACCUGGAUGUAGCCAUCAGGGCCCAACUCUAGUUUGUUUCUUUUAAUGCUUUUAGAUUUUGUACUUUUUCCCUUUAAUGAAUGAACAAAAGUCUUUGUUAUUUGGGUCAAUUGUGUGAUCUAGUCUCUCUACUAUUUUACCGAACUUUGGAAUUCCCUAUAAAUGAAAAUGCAAAUUUUUAGCAUACAUAUGCAUAUAGCAUACAUGCACCCACAUGCAUUUACAUCCCUUGCAUAUAAAAAAUUCAUUUUCCCAUCUUCCACCUCAGACCUGUUGAGCAAAGCAAGCUGACUUCCCAACCUCCGUUGAUAAGAGCUCGAUACAAGAAGGCAAUGAAGCAGAUAAAGCAGAACCAAGCUGCCCUCAAAGAUGACAUUGACUCGAUGAAGGGAAACAUUGACGAGGUGAAAGGAAGUGUGGAGAAAGUGUGAAUAAUAUGUUAGUAAGGCAAGAAGAAGGUCUUAAAGCCUCUCUCAGAGAAACUGCUCACGCCAAGGCUAUUGUCACCUAUGUGGAUCCUAACUCCCACUAGGGUUCAUUCCCAGUUACAAGCAUACUGAGGCCAGCGUGACUCAACCAGAAACAAACUUUCUUCCUCUUGAAGGGCUUAUUCCACUACCUGCAAAGAAUGGUGCACCUCACCCUCUACAGAUACCAAUUGUUAAUCCCCAAGCCAAUGGCAAUUUUAUGGACUUGGGUUCGCAAUAUGGAGAUAAGGAUAUGGGGAACAUAACUCAUGCGCCAAAGCUAGGGGAACAACCUAGGGGAAUUGCUGAAGAAUAUAAGGUGAAUGACAAGUAUAAAGUACUUGAAGAAGGUUUAAGGGUUGUAGUAGGUUUCAAUGUAUUCAUUGUCGACGCUUUCAACAUGUGUUUAGUUCCAGAUGUGGUUAUACCUCCAAAAUUCAAAGUACAUGACUUUGAAAAGUACAAAAGCCUCAACUAUCCGAGGAACUACCUGAGGAUGUUAUGUAUAAAGAUGGCUACUUAUGCCUAUGAUGAGAAACUAAUGAUCCAUUGUUUCCAAGAUAGCCUAAGUGGGGCAUCCUUGGACUGAUACAUGCAACUAGAGAAGACUCACAUCUGAAUAUGGGAAGACUUAUCUAAUGAUUUCUUGAGACAAUAUAAAUAUGAUUUGGAUAUGGCUCCUAAUUGCAUGAAGUUGUAGAACCUUGCAGAGAAAAAUUAUGAGUCUUUCAAGGAGUAUGCACGAAGAUGGAGGGAGAUGGCUGCUCAUGUACAACCCCACUCCUGGAAAGAGAGAUAGUGGAUAUAUUCAUGGGUACCCUACAAAGUCAAUACUAUGAAAGAAUGCUAGGGAGUGUCUCGUCUAGGUUCUUCGACAUGGUAAUCAUUGGAGAACAAAUUGAGGACGACUUGAAAAUUGGUAAGAUACGAGGGGUAUCCAAUGGUCAGACUGGUACUGUCGCAUCACGAAAAAUACUUGAGUGCAUCGCACGCUCGAAGAUACAAAAGAGUCACCACCGAACUUCAUUUAUUCCUGAAGGAAAGGGAAAAUAUCAAUAAAAUCCAAGGAUAGUAGAAAAAGGAUAAGGAAGUCGAUUAUGCAAGGGGAAUGUAUUAGCACCAUUCACAUCUGUUGUACUCAACGGAACCAUUUAGGUUAUUCUUUGUUUGAAUGAGUGUUACUAUCUAAAGGUUAUUUGUAAUUAGGAAAAAAUAAGUUUAUUAAUUAAUGUGCUUUCUAAGGAUUCGGGCCCUCGUGCCUACGUAUCCUCAUAGUGCAAUGAGGAAAUCAGAGCUCCGCAGUUCAUGGAACUAAGGGUAGGAACUGAAAAGUAAACUGAUAUAAAUGGUGUUUAAAUCGAAAGAGCAAUAGAAAUGAUAAUAUUGGUGUUUAAACCAAGCAGGAAAUAAAGUGAGACGGUGUUUAAAACAUGGGAAUGAUGUUUAAAUCGAAGAAGGUAGAAGUAGGAAUAAAGGUGAUAGAAGUGGUGUUUGAACCGAAGGAGAUAAAAGUGGUGUUUAAACUAGACAGGAGUAAAAGUGAUGUUUAAACUAAAGAAGGAAUAAAAAUUGGUGUUUAAAACAAAUAGGAAAAGAAAGUCAAAUGGUGUUUAAACCAAGGGAAUGGUGUUUAAACUAAAUGAGUCAUAAAAGUGGUGUUUAAACCAAAGGAGUCGUAAAAGUGGUGUUUAAAUUGAGAGAUUAAUAAAAGUGGUAUUUAAACAAAAAAGUGGUGUUUAAACCAAAGGAGAUGUAGGAUUUUUCCUGGAUCCGGAGGAUCAAGACCUACAAGAAAAUGGGUGUCAUAAAAGUGGUGUUGAAAUCAAAAAGUAUAAGAGUGGUGUUUAAACUAAGGGAGUGGUGUUUAAAUCGAGAGAAUGAUGUUUAAACCAAGAACAUAAGAGCGGUGUUCAAACCGAGAGAAUGAUGUUUAAACCAAGAACAUAAAAGUGGUGUUUAAACCAAAGAAAGCGGUGUUUGAACCAAAAUAAGUAAGAGCGAUGUUUAAACCAAAAGAAAAUAAUGAGCGGUGUUUAAACUAGAGAGUAUGGUGAAGAGAUGAGUGUUGUUGAUGUUGAUUGUUGAAGUGUUGGAGAUGUUGUCUGUGGAUAAGAAGACUUGGCAUUUAUUCAAUUUGAAUUGCACUAAAGUCUAUAAAUGAAGGUGAAUACUUUGAACAACCAUGUCAGGCAUCCCGUAUCUAAAUACAUUCAGAAUGAGGAUAUGAGUACUCCUCUCAUUCCUUCUCCACUACUUAAGGCUUGUGGUGUAUAAUUUGCAUCAUAACUGACAAGUGUUAAAGAAGAAUAUUUUUGUUGUGCUUGAUAUCUAGAAUUUUCAACCUUGAGGCCUUGCUUGAUCUCUUGAACUCUUGAUUGUGAAGUGUUGUUUAUGGGAGGAGAAGACUUGACAGUUGGUUGAUUUGAAUUACACUAAAGUCUAUAAAUGGAGGUGAAUACUUUGAACAACUGGGUCAGACAUCCCAUAUCCAAAGAUAUUCAGAAUUAGGAUAGGAACAAUCCCUCCUAUCCAUUCUCCACUACUUACGGCUCGUGGCGCACAAUUUGAAUCGUAACUGACAAGUGUUGAAGAGUCUUUUUGUUGUGCUUGACGUUCACAGUCUUCAUAGUCUUGUAUGAUGUCCUGAGCUUGUGUUUGACUUGAGUGUGAAGUCUUGAGAGGUCUAAAGCAAUUUCAGUAUAGAGGAUCAAUCCUAUCAAGUCACCAAGAGGCUUUUGAUUACUUGACUGGACAUGGAGAUCAGACAAGUAAAUGAACUAUUUGAUCAAAGGCAACUUUGAUCAACCAGUCAAUCAGGAAUAACAUCAGAAUAUGAAUCAAGCAUUUAGAUUUUAAUCCCCAAAACCUAAGGGAAUCAAAAUGUUAUCAAGCAUAUUAAUUAAGACUAAUCUUUAAUCAAUAUGAACAUGGCAUGCUAUUUUCUAAAAUUUAAAUUGCAAUUUAUCCUAAAAAGUAAGGAUUAUUUCUAACUAAUGGUGUAUUGUUAUUUUUGUCAUUUUUAAAGCAUGGAUUAAAAUCUAAAAUCUAAGUAUAUUAUUUUGAAGGUAUUUUGAUGUACAAAAAUAAACUGAAAUAAAAGAAUAAGAAAAAAAUAUUAAGAACCAAACAACAUAAAAAAAUAUAACAAAGAGGCGCAGGGGUGAUUGUUCAUGAGUGGGGUGCAACAAGCAGCUGAUGGGCUUGGGACAGCAAGCCCAAAAUGCUUCAUGUCCAUAAUUCAGGAAGGGGUGCACGUGAGUAAACCAGGGUGUAUCAGUAAUCUGCUUGGGCCUAGGGGACUUCAGAGCCCAAACGAAAAAUCCAAGGGAGGGGGAAAUGAAAUUCAGAAGAUCAUUUCAAAUUCAUUUGCGCAAACCACUCUUAACUUCUUCACAUAAAAGCCCUCACCUGAACCCUUUCUUUGUGCGCCGAAAAUCGCCUCCGACGGAGGCGGAGGUCAAACCAGACCCAAACAUAUAUCAAACUAACCACCGUCUCUCCCUCUUUCAUAACCCCAAACUACCUUUCCCGAAUUCCUGACUUAGAGUUCAAAUCGAGUGAAAAAACAUAUGAACCCUAAAGAAAAAAAAUAAAAAAUAAAACCUUGUAGAAAUGGAAUCAAAGCCUAAAGCAUUAGGAAUUUAAUUACUUGAGCCAAAUUCUACAUGAUGGCAACUGUAAUGGCAUGAAAUGGAUGAAGAAGAAGUGUAUCUUACCUACGAGGCGAAGAUGAAGAUGAAACAGGAAAUCUUCAGGUAAUCUUCAAUAUCAUAACUCCUUCACGCUUAAAAUAUUUCUUCUUCUUCUUCAAUUCUUCUUUAGCUUGUAGGUGUGAUUUCGAUGUCGCUCAGUGUUGUUGUUGAAGUUUGAGUGUGAGAGAGAGAUUUACAGAGACAAUGUGAUUCGAUUGAGAGUGAGAGAAGGAGUUUUUUUAUGUGAGAAUGAGGGAAUGAUUUUGAUUUUGUGAUUGUGUAAUGAUUCCAGAUCCUCCUCAAUGAUUGAAGAGGGUGAUGAUUUAUAGAGUUUGGUGUGUAACAACUUAGGGCACACCUUGGGCAAUUAUGUUAGUGAAGUUAGGGUAGGGUUAACUCCUAGUGAAUUUGAGAGGAAAAAUAGUUAGAGGUUAUGACACUGUCACACUUUUGUUAAGACUGUUAAGAUUAAUUGAGUUAGUGGAAUGUAGAGUUAGUACCUUGUUAAAACUGUUAGGUGAAAUGAAGUUAGUUGCUUAACAAAAGUUAGAAACCUGCUAGUUAGUUAUGAGGUUAGUGAGUUGGAUUUGGAGUUAAAUGUUGUGGUUGUUAGAAAUAAAAAGGGAAAAUGUUAGUGUAGUGUGAAAUUAGAGAAUUAUAUUAGUGAAAGUUAUGUUGCUAUGAUUUAUUCGAUGCUAACCUGAUAAAAUCGGUUAGACUAGCUGAAGUUAGUGUUAAGGAAAUGAGAUUAAACUAGUUAAAAUUGAAUUUACAAGCUGAAUUGUUAGCUAUAUUUAGUUGACAGUUAGAUUUCGAAUGAAUUGGAAUAAAAUAGUUAGUGACGGAAGCUAGUUACCUACAAUGAGUGUUGAAUUGUUAUAUUGACACUGGAUGAUUUGAAUGAAUGUGGAUUAUGGUUAGGAUUUGUUAGUUGAGUUUGAAUAAGUUAGGAUUAUUAUGAUGUUUGGAACUUAUUUGUAUAGAAAGAGUAAGUUGGAAAUGGAUUGAAAGGUGAUGUUAUGGUUUCUCGUUAAUGUCCUGUUUGUUUGCUAAAGUUGAAAAUGUGAGUUAAAGUGAGUUGGAAUAGUUAGUAUUAUUAGAGGUUAAUAGAAAGAACUUAGGUUAUUGGUGUUUGUCAUGCUUGAAACAAGUUGGUGCUAUAGUUCAAGUAGUGUGUUCAUCACUAGGCUGUUAGUUUAUGUUAUAGUUAUAGGUUAGUAAUUAAGGUGAUAGUUAGAAGAUUUUGAAUUUCAAUUAGGACGAAAUUGCUAAAACAAGUUAUGAGGUUCAGUAUUAACUAAUGUGUGAUGUUAAGACUUGGAGCUAAAAUUGGAUGAAGUUGGUAUAAACUUGGUUAAAAAUGUUAGUAGAACUAGUUAAGGUUAGUUUCAAAGCAAUGAUGGAACUGUUACUAGGAGGUCGAUUAAUUAUGACUUUUUGUUAUUGGUGUUAUGACCUUGUGAAUGUUGACUUCUAACUAGUUUAUAUGGUUGAAUAUCAAUUAGGUUGGUGUUACUUGUUGUUACUAAAUGAUUGAAUUAUGACAAAAAAACUGUUAGGAUUACAUUAAGGUGGUUAGUGAGUUUUGAGAAAAAUCCACAAGUUUAAAAUUGAACCAAAAUUGAUUUUGAAAAAGUUUAUAGCGCGAAAGCAAGUUUCAAAAUUUUCUUGGAUAAAAAAUCGUCUAACCGAACCUACUAUCGAAAAUCUCGGAUAUGUGUAAAGGUGUCAAUGCAAUGAUAAUAAUCCACAAGUCAAUCAACAACAAUUAAACAUAACUAGUUGAAUACAAUAUAAUAGGAAAAGUUUAUCUCCAAUGAACAAAACACACAACAAAUUAAGUCAAGCAAUUUUUCGAACACUUAGUGUGCGAUCAACAAUGUUUGGAAUUUUAUGUAAAGUUUGUUAUUCUUAGAAAUCCAAUCACAACCAAAUGGUUUAUGAUCUACACAAUAACACAAAUUUCAAAACGCGUUCAAGAUUAUGAUCCAAACAAUAUUGAUCAAAUGAUCAAUGCAAUUGAGAAUUUCCAAACCACAAAAUAAAAGAGAUAUGUAUAGAAAGAGAGUACACAAGGAUUUGUUUAGGCAGUUUCCCAAUCAACAUCGCUAUGGGUACGUCUUCCCUUAAUUCGAAUUCGAAUUGAGAUAUUAUAAUAAAUCUUACUUUGCAAAAUAUGUGUAUACAAGAGAUGAAGAAAUCGAACUCUACAAAUCCUAAGUUUGAUGUUGACUCUACCACCUCCAAAACCCUUGAUAAAAGAUUGAUCAAGUAACCAACAAUGCCGCUUCAAUUCACCUUUUCUUGUUACUUCCUUGCAAGGCACUCCUUGUCCUAAGGCUUUCACCCGUUUGAAUUAAUCCCAAGCGCACAUUUGUUGAAACCCAAGAUUUUCCAACACGAUCUACCGUCUCAUGCCACUCCCUUGCAAGGUACCCAUUGUCCCAAGGAUUUCACUUGAUCGGAUCCGAAUUGCAUAAUCUUGUCAAAAACCUUCAAACCAUAAGAGAUCUUGAUGGAAAACCCUAACUCGGUUUUCUGAUACGAAUCCCUCAAAGUUCUCAACCCAAUAUUCUAGGUACAAUAAACCUAAUUGGACGUUAUCAACGCUAAUCUACAUGACACCCAAUCAAAAAAUGAUUAUGUGUAGUGUGAUUGUGUGUAUGCAUAGAUGGAGUUGAAGAUGAUGACAAUGCUUUGAAAUCUUGGAUUCAUGUUGGUUUUACUCACUCUAGAAACCUUACUAGAGAAAGAUGCAUGUAUGUAGUAUUUAUAUGCAUGAGUGAUUGAAGGAAAAAAGGAAUGCAAAGAACUUGGAGAAAAUAUAAAUUUUUGAAAAACAUUCAUCGCAUAGGUCGACCUAUGAAAGUUAUGUGUCGACCUAUUCGAUGCAUAAGUCGACGUGUUUAAGGUCAUGUGUCGACCUAUGACUAUCAUAAGUACCAUAGGUCGACACAUGAAAUAUAGGCUAUAUGCUUUAAUACUGCAACACAGGUAUCGACCUAUGGAAUGCAUGUGUCGACCUAUAGUCAAGAAAAUUUAUCUAUAGGUCGACCUAUAGUUGUAUGUGUCAACCUGUAGGUCGACCCGUAGACGUAUGUGUCGACCUGUGCUGACAUUUUUCAUAAAAAUUAAAAUUUUAUGCAUGAGAUCUUUUCCAAGUUGUUUCCAACUUCUUAUAUGCUUCCCAAUGCUAUGGUGCACAAAAAUAAUAAGAGGAUACCUUCCAAUAUAAAUUAACGCUAAAGUAUCCUAGUUUUGACAUCAUAUAAAACACAUCUAACAGAAGUUGCACUCACACUAUAGGGAUUUAGGGUUAGGAUUAGUAGUUGAGUUUGGUCAACUGGUUGACCAAAAAGUCAAUAGUUGACCAAAGUCAACUGUAGGUCGAACUUAGGUAUUUUUUGUGUAAUUUUAUAUAGACUUGAAAUGGAUGUUUGAAAUGUAAACUUGAUGAUUUAUAAUGAAAACAUUGAUCUUACAUGGUAUAUGUAACUUGUUACUUGAGAAAGCAACCUUUUCCUCCCAUUUUGAAUCUUGAAUGAAUUUGAACUAUUGAAUAAAGAUGAACUUGAAUGAAGCUUGAUCUUGUAUGAAUGCCAUGUCAUGAACCAAACAAUAAACAUUAGUAAGGAAGACAAGACAUGUGGAAGACAAGACAUGCGCAAAUGCCACGGUAUGCAAAGUUCAUGAAGGAUAUUCUCACAAAGAAAAGGAGACAUGUGGAAGACAAGACAAUCUUGCUUGAUGCAUGUUGUAGUGCCAUAAUCCAAAAAACUCUCCCAAGGAAGGAAUCCGAUCCGGGCCGAGUCGUUUUACUGGUAACCAUUGGAGGCACCUACAUUGGUAAUGGUUUGAUUGACUUGGGAUCUAGCAUCAAUUUAAUCCCCCUAUCCAUUAUUAAAAGAUUGGGAAAUAUCGAGAUUAAAUCUACAAGGAUGACUUUACAACUAGCCGAUAAGUCUACCACUUCACCAUAUGGAGUUGCUCAAGAUAUGCUAGUGAAGGUGGACAAAUUCUUGUUUCCGGUAGAUUUCGUGAUAGUGGAGAUGGAUGAGGAUCGUGAUGUUCUCUAAAUUCUUGGAAGACCAUUCAUGAAAACAGCCCGGAUGAUGAUUGACAUUGAUGAUGGACUGAUGAAAGUGAGAGUGCAAGAUGAAGAGGUGACCUUCAAUCUUUUUGAAGCCAUGAAGCAUCCUAAUGACAAUCAUGAUUCUUUCCGAAUCGAUGCAACCGAAGAGGAAAUAGUGGAGGUCGCAAACCAAGUUCAUGUUUCUAAUCCAUUAGAAAGAUCUCUUAUCGGAGCCUACAAUGUUUUGACCGAAAAUAAAGAAAAAGAGAUUGAAGCAAUGUUGCAUGAAUUAGAGUCUUGUGGAGAGCUUGUUUAUCAUGAAGAAACAAAUGAAGACUUGGAUGUGACAAAGAAAAUGGAAGAACCAAAACUAGAGUUGAAAAUGCUACCUUCACUCUUGAAGUAUGUGUUCCUUGGUGAUGAUUGUACUAAACCGGUGAUCAUUAGCAACACCUUGUCCACAAAAGAGGAACACAAAUUGAUACAAGUGCUGAAAAAGAAUGAGGGUGCAAUAGGGUGGGUCCGACUUGAAGGUAUUAGUCCGGCCUAUUGUAUGCAUAAGAUCAUGAUGGAAGAAAAUUUCAAACCCGUUGCACAACCUUAAAGGCGUCUAAAUCCAUCAAUGAAAGAAGUAGUUCGGAAAGAAGUUGUCAAACUCUUGGAAGCCGAAAUGAUUUAUCCUAUCUCCGUGAAUGGGUGAGUCCGGUGCAAGUAGUUCCAAAAAAAGGUGGCAUGACGGUUAUCAAAAAUGAUAAAAAUGAGUUGAUUCCAACAAGAACGGUAACCGGGUGGAGGAUGUGUAUUGACUAUAGAAGACUAAACCAAGCUACAAGAAAAGAUCACUUCCCACUACCUUUCAUGGACCAAAUGUUGGAAAGGUUGGCCGGCAAAAAUUUCUAUUGUUUCUUGGAUGGUUAUUCGGGGUACAACCAAAUUUCAGUCAAUCCGGCGGAUCAUGAGAAGACGGCUUUUACAUGUCCUUUCGGCAUCUUUGCUUACCGAAGAAUGCCUUUUGGGUUAUGUAAUGCACCAGCAACAUUUCAACGCUGUAUGCAAGUGAUAUUCUCGGAUUUAAUCGAAGAAUGCAUUAGGUGUUCAUGGAUGAUUUCUCCGUUUAUGGAUCGUCUUUUGAUUUGUGCUUGAAACAUCUUGAUGUGGUUUUGGGAAGAUGUGUGAAGACCAACUUAGUGCUUAAUUGGGAGAAAUGCAACUUUAUGGUCACCGAAGGUGUUGUACUCGGUCACAAGAUCUCCUCCGAAGGGCUAGAAGUUGACAAAGCAAAGGUGGAAGUCAUUGAUUUAUGUCUGAAUCCUUCAAAGUGCACUUCUUGUGUCAGAUCCAACAAGUUGUUGGGGUUCAUAGUCAUUCAAAUAGGAAUUGAAUUCGAUCUGGAUAAAGUGAAUUCCAUACAAGACAUGCCAACUCCAAGAACUAAAAAAGAGGUUUGUGGGUUCUUGGGAAGAUUGAACUACAUCGCUAGAUUCAUCUCGCAUCUUACAUCCACCUACGAACCAGUUUUCAAAUUAUUGAGGAAAAAACAAACCAUUGAUAGGAAUGAGGAUUGUCAAGGGUUAUUUGAUAAAAUUAAAGAGUACUUACAAGAGCAACAAAUCUUGAUAUCCCAUGUUCGAGAGAGACCUCUUAUUAUGUACUUAGAAAUUCUUAAUGGAUCGAUGGGCUGUGAAUUGGUGCAACAAGAUGAAACCGACAGAAAGGAGCAUGUAAUCUACUAUUUAAGCAAGAAGUUCACAUAUUUGUGAAUACAAAUACUCAUUACUUGAGAAGACUUAUUGCACACUAGCAUGGGCUGCUUGGCACUUAAGGCAAUACAUGUUGACCCACACAAUAUAUUUAAUAUCAAAUAUGUUACUUAGAAGAUAAUAAAAGGAAGUGUGUUGUCAAAAUAUCUUGCAAACCAACUAAUGGAAUAUUAUUAUCCCAUGAGGUUUGAGUUUCCUGAUGAAUGUAUUAUGGUUCUGAAUGAAGAAAAUGUCAUAGGUAAUGAUGUAGGGCCCAAACCAGGAGCUAGAUGGAAGCUCGCGUUUGAUGGUGGCUCGAAUGCCAUGGGGCAUGGAAUUGGAUAUGUCUUAAUCUCUCUAAGGAAUGACUAUACUCCCUUCACAAAAAGGUUAUCUUUUGACUGUACAAAUAGUAAGGCAUAAUACGAAGCAUGUAUCAUGGGCAUUGAACCUGCUAUAGACCUAAGGAUCAAAAUCCUAGAGGUGCAUGUAGACUAUGUGUUAGUCAUAUAUCAAGUAAAAGGAGAAUGGGAAACUCGUCAUCCUAAACUGAUAUCAUACCAAGCUCGAGUCUUUUAACUGAUGGAGAAUUUUAAGGAAAUCACUUUCCAUCACAUUCCAAGAGAAGAAAAUCAGAUGGCAGACGCUUUGGCUACAUUAUCAUCAAUGUACAAAGUAAACUUCCACAAUGAAGGCCCAAUUAUAAGAAUGGGUCAUAGAGAUGAACCGACAUGUUGCUCAACACUUGAAGAAGAGUUUGAUGACAAGCCAUGGUUUCAUGAAAACAAGUGUUACCUUCAGAAACAAGAGUACCUUACAAAUUCUUUGAGUGGGGACAAGAAAACUCUCAGAAGGUUAAUAGCUAAUUUCUUCCUAAAUGAUGAUGUGCUCUACAAAAGAAACCAUGACAUGGUCCUACUCAGAUGCAUGGAUAGACACGAAGCACACAUGUUCGUCAAGUAAAUUCAUGGCAGACUUCUGAUGAUUUUCUUUACAUGAUUUGUCGUGGUAUAACCUUUGUUCAGAACUUUAAUCCAACUCCAUAUUUCUAGAUUAAAGUUAGGGCUUUAGUCUCUUUAACUUGCUCAUUUCCUUCAUGAGUCAUUUUCAAAGAAUCAAAUAUAGACUUAGUAAAGUCUCUAAUUAUUAUGUUUUCAUACUUAGAUUAGGAAAUAGAAUUCAACAAUAUAGUUUUGGAUCUAUGAUGAUUAUUGUAAUCCUUCUUUUGUUUACAAUCUAUUUUGCUUCUUUUAAGCUUACUGCCAUCAGCAUCUAUAGGAUGUGUCUAACCUUCUAUCACCAUAUCCCAUAGUUCAACAUCACAACCUAUGAAGAAACUUUCGAUUCUAUCUUUCCAAUAGUUGAACUUUUCUCCAUCAAAGAAUGAAGGUUUUGUAGAAUAAUGAUAUUUAUCAUUAUUUGCUUAUGCCAUAAUGUAUUUAAAAAAGAAUGGAUCUAUGUCUGAAAUGAUUAAGUGUUUAACACAAAGUAUGGGGUUUGAAUUAGGUUUCUCUAUUUAAAAACUUUUUCCACCCAAUAUAUUAAAACAACAAAGAUAAUAAUAAAGGUAAGAACAUAAGUAUUUUACCAUGGUUCACUGUUAAUGAAGCUCCGUCUAGCCCACUCUCCUGAGUGAUUUCUUCUUCUCAACAAGGACUUAAUCCAAUAAUCAAACUGAUUACAACAAACUCAAAGACGCACAGUCUAAGACUUCUUGAGAAAUUCUGACUAUACCAUAGUCUUUUAAGGAAAACAACUCAAAGACUAACUGUCAAUGACUUCUUGAGAAUUCUGAUCUAACUUAGUCUCUCAAGGAAAUUAACUAAAGGUUAAGAUAAUGGGUUUUAUGUCACAUGUUUCUUCAACACAACAGAUACACAAGUUUAAAUCAAAUGUUACACUUAACACAAGUUUAAAUCAAAUGUAACACUUAUUUUUAUAUUUUCUCUUUCACGUAUUCUAUUUGAGUGUAAG